RNAcentral lists this transfer RNA (76 nucleotides) under bacterium. RNAcentral describes it as "tRNA-Phe". It matches the Rfam family "tRNA". Rfam says of the family: Transfer RNA (tRNA) molecules are approximately 80 nucleotides in length. Their secondary structure includes four short double-helical elements and three loops (D, anti-codon, and T loops). RNAcentral also lists the same sequence under 11 other names. The record is from RNAcentral.
GCCCAGGUAGCUCAGUCGGUAGAGCAGGGGAUUGAAAAUCCCCGUGUCGGUGGUUCGAUUCCGCCCCUGGGCACCA